CGUAGGGCGCGAGCGUUGUCCGGAAUUAUUGGGCGUAAAAGAGCUCGUAGGCGGCUUGUCGCGUCGGUUGUGAAAGCCCGGGGCUUAACCCCGGGUCUGCAGUCGAUACGGGCAGGCUAGAGUUCGGUAGGGGGAGAUCGGAAUUCCUGGUGUAGCGGUGAAAUGCGCAAGAUAUCAGGAGGAACACCGGUGGCGAAGGCGGAUCUCUGGGCCGAUACUGACGCUGAGGAGCGAAAGCGUGGGGAGGCGAACAGGAUU
RNAcentral lists this ribosomal RNA (258 nucleotides) under uncultured bacterium. RNAcentral describes it as "partial 16S ribosomal RNA". It matches the Rfam family "Bacterial small subunit ribosomal RNA", at positions 526 to 779 of the family's 1533-position model. The record is from RNAcentral.